Molecule: transfer RNA, 74 nt
Filed under: Desulfosporosinus cupriresistens
Lineage: Bacteria; Bacillati; Bacillota; Clostridia; Eubacteriales; Desulfitobacteriaceae
Description: Desulfosporosinus sp. BG tRNA
Rfam family: tRNA
About the family: Transfer RNA (tRNA) molecules are approximately 80 nucleotides in length. Their secondary structure includes four short double-helical elements and three loops (D, anti-codon, and T loops). Further hydrogen bonds mediate the characteristic L-shaped molecular structure. tRNAs have two regions of fundamental functional importance: the anti-codon, which is responsible for specific mRNA codon recognition, and the 3' end, to which the tRNAs corresponding amino acid is attached (by aminoacyl-tRNA synthetases). tRNAs cope with the degeneracy of the genetic code in two manners: having more than one tRNA (with a specific anti-codon) for a particular amino acid; and 'wobble' base-pairing, i.e. permitting non-standard base-pairing at the 3rd anti-codon position.
Source: Rfam by way of RNAcentral
CGGGGCGUGGCGCAGUUUGGUAGCGCGCUUGGUUCGGGACCAAGAGGCCGUGGGUUCGAAUCCCGUCGCCCCGA